This 406-nucleotide ribosomal RNA is filed under the name uncultured bacterium. RNAcentral's name for it is "partial 16S ribosomal RNA". It matches the Rfam family "Bacterial small subunit ribosomal RNA", at positions 30 to 526 of the family's 1533-position model. The record is from RNAcentral.
AUUGAACGCUGGCGGCAGGCUUAACACAUGCAAGUCGAGCGAGCGGCGGACGGGUGAGUAAUGUCUGGGAAACUGCCUGAUGGCGGGGGAUAACUACUGGAAACGGUAGCUAAUACCGCAUACCAUCAGAUGAACCCAUAUGGGAUUAGCUAGUAGGUGGGGUAAUGGCUCACCUAGGCGACGAUCCCUAGCUGGUCUGAGAGGAUGACCAGCAACCCUGGAACUGAGACACGGCCCAGACUCCUACGGGAGGCAGCAGUGGGGAAUAUUGCACAAUGGGCGCAAGCCUGAUGCAGCCAUGCCGCGUGUGUGAAGAAGGCCUUCGGGUUGUAAAGCACUUUCAGCGAGGAGGCGUUACCUGCAGAAGAAGCACCGGCUAACUCCGUGCCAGCAGCCGCGGUAAUAC